RNAcentral lists this ribosomal RNA (959 nucleotides) under Staphylococcus aureus. RNAcentral's name for it is "partial 23S ribosomal RNA". It matches the Rfam family "Bacterial large subunit ribosomal RNA", at positions 1944 to 2904 of the family's 2925-position model. Lineage: Bacteria; Bacillati; Bacillota; Bacilli; Caryophanales; Staphylococcaceae. The record is from RNAcentral.
AACGGUCCUAAGGUAGCGAAAUUCCUUGUCGGGUAAGUUCCGACCCGCACGAAAGGCGUAACGAUUUGGGCACUGUCUCAACGAGAGACUCGGUGAAAUCAUAGUACCUGUGAAGAUGCAGGUUACCCGCGACAGGACGGAAAGACCCCGUGGAGCUUUACUGUAGCCUGAUAUUGAAAUUCGGCACAGCUUGUACAGGAUAGGUAGGAGCCUUUGAAACGUGAGCGCUAGCUUACGUGGAGGCGCUGGUGGGAUACUACCCUAGCUGUGUUGGCUUUCUAACCCGCACCACUUAUCGUGGUGGGAGACAGUGUCAGGCGGGCAGUUUGACUGGGGCGGUCGCCUCCUAAAAGGUAACGGAGGCGCUCAAAGGUUCCCUCAGAAUGGUUGGAAAUCAUUCAUAGAGUGUAAAGGCAUAAGGGAGCUUGACUGCGAGACCUACAAGUCGAGCAGGGUCGAAAGACGGACUUAGUGAUCCGGUGGUUCCGCAUGGAAGGGCCAUCGCUCAACGGAUAAAAGCUACCCCGGGGAUAACAGGCUUAUCUCCCCCAAGAGUUCACAUCGACGGGGAGGUUUGGCACCUCGAUGUCGGCUCAUCGCAUCCUGGGGCUGUAGUCGGUCCCAAGGGUUGGGCUGUUCGCCCAUUAAAGCGGUACGCGAGCUGGGUUCAGAACGUCGUGAGACAGUUCGGUCCCUAUCCGUCGUGGGCGUAGGAAAUUUGAGAGGAGCUGUCCUUAGUACGAGAGGACCGGGAUGGACAUACCUCUGGUGUACCAGUUGUCGUGCCAACGGCAUAGCUGGGUAGCUAUGUGUGGACGGGAUAAGUGCUGAAAGCAUCUAAGCAUGAAGCCCCCCUCAAGAUGAGAUUUCCCAACUUCGGUUAUAAGAUCCCUCAAAGAUGAUGAGGUUAAUAGGUUCGAGGUGGAAGCAUGGUGACAUGUGGAGCUGACGAAUACUAA